CUAAACCCAAGGGAAUUUUUCAAACCAGCAGGGGUCAUUUGGUUACAAGGAACAAAAAUCCCUUCGAACUGGCUCAAAUAAAAAGGGGAAUGAGGCAUUGUAAAGAUAGGCCAAGGAAUCUGGCUGACAUCUCCAGGCAGAAAAUAAACACUGGGAAAAUGUAUUGGGAAACCGAAAGUCAGGAAUGAAACUCCCUCUCUCUCUCUCUCUCCCUCUCUCUCUCUCUGGGGCUCUCGGGGCCCAUAGCUCUUCUUUCUCUGCCCGUCUUCUGCAUUUCCUCCUCUGCAGUGUGAUUUUCUGUGCUGGCUCACUUUCCACUCCUCCUGAACUUUCUGUUUCUUACGGGGUUGCUUCGUUAGGUUGGCGACUAUGGCCUCAGUUCUACAAGAACCAACUGCAGCCUCCACUAUCCAAAUUUCAGUCUCAGCAUCUCUUAAUUUGAAUUCUCAAGAUCGGAACUACUAUAGACAUGUUCUAAUGGGCUCUGAUUAAAUUCUUCAGGCCAGCUUGUACUUGUUCCCAGGGCGACUGGGGAGGCAACAGAAGCUCACAAGACUUCUUGGAUCUAGGAUGAGAACUGUCAUAGCAUCACUUUGACUGUAUUCCAUGGGCUAAUGCCAGUCACAGAGCACUACCUUUUGAUGGGAGAAGCUGCAACGUCACGCUGCAUAGAGCAUGGAUGCAGACAAGGAUGGAGAUUUGGGCCACUUUUAUAAUUAAUCUGCUAUAUUAUGUCUUCCUAAAACUUUUUCAUAUUCAGAGACUAGCCCUUCUGAAUCAUUUCCCACUUAGAAUACAGUAUCUAGUGAAACCCCCCAAUUUGGUCCUCAGGGUUAUUAAGCACAUUCCGCAGAAGAGUUCUCCUCUGUUGUCCCUGUGAUUUUAUUCCAAGCCACUGAUAUGUGUUCUGCAAGUUUCAAUGCUGACCCUUUCUUGAUUUUGUCAGAAGGAGCAUAAAGAAAAUACCAACAUAAAUUAGUCACACCAAACUUUCUUUUACCUAUUCUUAGAAAUUUGGAGGUUUUUCUGACUCUGGUUGCAUUACUUGGCAUGUGUAGUGGGCUGCAUGGUGGCCCAAAGGAUAUGAGAUCUUAACCUCUGAAGACUGUAAACGUCACCUUAUUUGGAAAAAGGGUCUUUGCGGAUGUGAUUCAGUUAAAGGUGCUGAGAUGGAGAGAUCCUCCUGGAUUAUGUGCGUGAGCCCUAAAUGCCAUGCGAGAGUCUUGAUAAGAGAAAGGGGGAGGCAGAUUUGAAAAACAGAAGAGGAAAAGGUGAGGUGAAGACAGAGGCAGAGAUGGGAGUGAUGCAGCCCCCAGAGGCUGGAAGAGACAAGGAGUGGAUUUCGCCCUAGAACCUCCAGAGAGGGUGGUCCAUGCUGACGCCUUGACUUCCACCCAGUCCAACUGAUGUCGAACUGCUGGCCGCCAGCUAAGACAGAAUAAGUUUCUGUCAUGCUAAGGCCCCAGGUGGGACACCUACCACAGCACAGCUUGCCAAGCGAUGCCAUAUCUGCACCUGGGAUCCGAACCCCAGCGAACCCCGGGCCUCCGAAGCAGAACUUGCGCACUUAACCGCUCCACCACUGGGCCAGCCCUUUGAAUUAAUUUUUAUAUGUGCUUCAAGGUAUAGAUUUGACCACCAAAUUAGUCCAGCACUAUUUGUUGAGAAGAUUAUCAUUUCUCCACCAUCUUGUUCAAGAAUUUUGCCUAAUGAUUCAAGCUGCCCAGUAAUUUUCAUAUCUCACACUCUCUCUGCCCUGUUUUGGUAACAAGUCACUCUAGUUUCAUCAAAUGAAUCUAGGAGUAUUUGCUAUUUUUCUAGUAUUUGGAACACUUCAUGUAAGAUUGGAAUUAUUUUUCCUGUUUGAAUGUUUGCUACCUGAAUGUUUGUUAUCCACAAAAAGCCAUCUGGACCUGGAAUUUUCUUUGUGGGAAAAUUUUGGCUCUUAAUUUAAGAUUUUAGGUGUGGCAAAAUAAGUUUUUCUAGGAAUUUGUCUUUAUCAUCUACAUUUUCAAACUCAUUGGUAUGAGCAAAUGUUUGUAAUGUCCUCUAAUUGGUUUUAAUUUCUACAACAUCUGUAACGUCUUCUUUUGUAUGCCUGAUAAUAAUUGUU
RNAcentral lists this long non-coding RNA (2113 nucleotides) under Equus caballus (horse). RNAcentral's name for it is "lncRNA (ENSECAG00000060277.1)". Lineage: Eukaryota; Metazoa; Chordata; Mammalia; Perissodactyla; Equidae. The record is from RNAcentral.